RNAcentral lists this ribosomal RNA (494 nucleotides) under uncultured bacterium. Its description in RNAcentral is "partial 16S ribosomal RNA". It matches the Rfam family "Bacterial small subunit ribosomal RNA", at positions 28 to 507 of the family's 1533-position model. The record is from RNAcentral.
GACGAACGCUGGCGGCGUGCUUAACACAUGCAAGUCGAACGGAAAGGCCUGCUUUCCCUUGUGGAUUGCGGGUACUCGAGUGGCGAACGGGUGAGUAACACGUGAGUGAUCUGCCCCCAACUUGGGUAUAAGCCUGGGAAACUGGGUCUAAUUCCCGAUAGGACUGCAGGGUGGUGCCUGUGGUGGAAAACGAUUUUCUAGUGGUUGGGGAUGAGCUCGCGGCCUAUCAGCUUGUUGGUGGGGUAAUGGCCUACCAAGGCGGCGACGGGUAGCCGGCCUGAGAGGGUGGACGGCCACAGUGGGACAGAGAUACGGCCCAGACGCCUACGGGAGGCAGCAGUGGGGAAUAUUGCACAAUGGGCGGAAGCCUGAUGCAGCGACGCAGCGUGGGGGAUGACGGCAUUCGGGUUGUAAACUCCUUGCGACCGCGAGGAAGCCACCUGGUUGGAAGGGUGGUGACGGUAGUGGUAGAAGAAGCACCGGCUAACUACGUG